GACUUACAUUUUUGGUAUUUAUUUUAUAUAUUGAAAUGCCAUUUAACAAAGAAAAAUGAACCAAAAAAAUGAUUCAUAUGAUUCAAAUGAUGGUGUCAUAGGUUCACCAUCACUGAUCUAUAUCUAUAUCUAUAUCUAGAUCUAGAUCUCUGUUAUAUAUGGCCCAUCAUUUGAAAAAAUGACAGCAACCUUGACAUUCAUAAAGUAAUGGAUUUCAUGAGUAUGUGCUCAAGAUAUGCGCACACUGUAUUUUUUUAUACUCUUACAGCUAUGAUUUGAGCUGGAUGCCACAACAAAGUACAAAGAGCAAAAAUGUGGGUCAAAAUUGAACCGUGCCGCCCCUUAAAAUGGGACGCACACUAUGGGCUUCCGUGAUUUCAUUUCCUUACUUCACCUUUUCUGGGAGAGGUGAGGCCUCGCCCUCAGCCUGGUUCUCUUUUUCUACCUGCGUCCUCCCUCGUCCCUCAGCCGCUUCCCAAAUGGGUCACGUGACGGGCUUCUACUCCGGUUGUGCUGUAAGGUGGGAAAUGCUGUGAACACGUCCAUCACGGGGGCAGUAGGUUGUCUUGGAGAUGAGAACAAUUCCUGAGGUAGGUAGGUGCCUGCUGCCCCUCUGGGCUUCUGCCCUCCCAGCAGUGGGGCUCACUGCCUUUGCCUUUAAUUAUAGUUUGAGACACCGUGUUGAAAUAUUUAAUCUCUGAGUAAUGACUGGAUUUGAGUUUCCUAAUUGGCAUCUGUGUGGUUAGCAUCGGUGCCAAAGCACGAAUCUAGAACGCACACGCCAUACGAGACGUGGACUCUACGUAAACAUUUCUCAUACCUGCCCCCUUCACUCCAGGGCAAUAAUAUUAUUUAAAAAAUGGAAGGAUAAAUAUCCUAUCCUUCAUGGUUCUGCAUAUAUUUGGAUCGCUAACCAACAACCUGUUACGGUUUACAAGUCACACCAAAAAUCCAUGUGUGAUCAGCACAGAGUGAAGUGUCAUUGUCCCUCUAAAGAAGACCUUGGCCUUGGGAACUUGCCUUGCUCAUUCUCAAUUGGUGUUUCGGGCGCCUGGGAGUAGUUCCCAGAAGAUAAAUGUCCACCCACCACUGGGUGACUUAUUUAGAACCUUGUGGAACCAGCUUGCGAGGCCUAAGAGGAUAGGUGAGGUAGAGUCGUUAUUGGCUUGAAGUCUGCCCACCACCUUGGGGGAGUGUGUUUCCUACAAGAGGAGUAUCACCGGGCAUCUUCCUCCAAUGACUGACAGCUUCCAACUGUUUGAAACAAGACGAAACUCAGCCUCGGCGACACACACGCCUGUUGGAUGUGUGCAUGAUACACGCUAUGGGCGUGGGACCGCCCAGCUCGCAUUCCCUGAAUAAUGUAUGUUUCCUUUGGCGGCCUCGAGUUACCCAGGGGUGACGGUGGAGGCAGAGGUGGAAUUACAGAGCCCGGCUGUUCUGCCCACGGAGAACGUUUCUCGGGUGAAAGGCCAAGGCAUGGCCUGGUGAGGGGCUGCUGGCAGGCGGACAGAUUGCUCUCUCAGCGGCGGAGAGGGAGGAGUGAUUCUGAUCGUCCCAUCUGGCUAGCGCGGGCAAACACGCCCCUUCUGCGUCUGACACCAGUGGCUUGAGCCUUUUUUUGACUUCGGACAGGCAACCACCAGCUGCCUGAGCAGCGUGGGGGCUCUGUGUCCUCCCGGUGGUCAUGGCAUCCACAUUCCCGCGAAAAGGAAAGCUGCUCUCUUUCCAAACGCCCAGUGCAGACUCCGAACUUUUUUUCCUCCAAAUUCAGACACAGGGGAUCCAGCCGUGUCCCAGAUCAGGGCCCUCGGUGAAUCCCCUCUCCUACUUCGUUAGGGGGCACUUUUCUCCUCACCUGACAGAAGAGGAAGCUAAAGGUUGGGUAACACACAGCCGGGAAGAGGCAGUGCCAGGAGAGGAACCCAGGUCAGCCUGACUCCAAAGGUCACGUUCAAUUCCACUUCCUCAUUUUCCACCAAAAGAAUAAAAAAAAAGGUAUAUGUUUUA
Molecule: long non-coding RNA, 2010 nt
Organism: Myotis myotis
Lineage: Eukaryota; Metazoa; Chordata; Mammalia; Chiroptera; Vespertilionidae
Exons: 2
Source: RefSeq, a predicted model, not a curated record